Molecule: ribosomal RNA, 708 nt
Filed under: Triticum aestivum (bread wheat)
Lineage: Eukaryota; Viridiplantae; Streptophyta; Magnoliopsida; Poales; Poaceae
Description: partial small subunit ribosomal RNA
Source: RNAcentral
GGACAAGAGAACAUCUGGUUAAUCUAUUAUAGGCACUGAAAUAUCGGAAAUAUCUUCGAUUUUCAUCAUCGUCGAUGGAUCAUCACCACAAGCUGGAACGAAAUCCGGAUGAUCCAUCUGUGUUUCCAAGUUCCAACACGCCCGCCCGCAGACCCGAACACACUAGCUAGCACUCAACCCACGCAUGAUCCUUCGAUCAUCACAUACCUGACCGCCUAAUUAAACCAACUCUAAUUAACAAAGCAACGAGACGAGGCCGGAGACGGCGUCUAUCCGGCCGGCGAGGGCGCGCGAGAUCCGCGUCGACGGAUCUCACGCCCUGAAGCAGGCGGCGAGGUGGAAGUGGAGGUGGCCCGAGGAGGAGCCGUGGUGGUGGUGGCCGCCGGAGACGAGGCGGCCGGAGCCGGAGCCGCCGUGCCGCUGGCCGUCGAUGAUGGCCUGCACGCGGCGGAAGUUGUCGACGCCGCAGGGGAUGGUGAUGGCGCCCUGCUGCUGGAAGCCGUACUCCUCCUCGGCCUCCUUGAGUAGGCCCACGAAGAGCGGGUGCUUGAGGUAGCCCACCGGCACCACGAACCUCUCCUCCUCCUCCGCGCGGCCGCCCGGCCCCACCACGCGCACCGCCAUGCACCCCUUGGGCGGCAUCGACGACCCGCCGCUCGAGCCCCCCGCCGCCGACGAGUGCUGCUUCCUCAGCAGGCUCACGCCCAU